UACGAAGGGUGCAAACGUUGUUCGGAAUUACUGGGCGUAAAGCGCACGUAGGCGGAUUGUUAAGUUAGGGGUGAAAUCCCAGGGCUCAACCCUGGAACUGCCUUUAAUACUGGCAAUCUCGAGUCCGAGAGAGGUGAGUGGAAUUCCGAGUGUAGAGGUGAAAUUCGUAGAUAUUCGGAGGAACACCAGUGGCGAAGGCGGCUCACUGGGCCUGUACUGACGCUGAGGAGCGAAAGCGUGGGGAGCGAACAGG
This 253-nucleotide ribosomal RNA is filed under the name uncultured bacterium. RNAcentral describes it as "partial 16S ribosomal RNA". It matches the Rfam family "Bacterial small subunit ribosomal RNA", at positions 524 to 776 of the family's 1533-position model. The record is from RNAcentral.